Molecule: small RNA, 3750 nt
Filed under: Mytilus galloprovincialis (Mediterranean mussel)
Lineage: Eukaryota; Metazoa; Mollusca; Bivalvia; Mytilida; Mytilidae
Source: RNAcentral
AUGGAAAUAGUUUUACAAGAUCUAAGUUUUGCUAUCUCAUAUAUUGACGAUAUUUUGAUAUUUUCUGAAACUUUAGAAGAACAUUUUGAUCACAUUCAACAAGUAUUUGACAGAUUGAGACAACAUAAUUUGAAAUUGAAAUUAAAGAAAUGUCAAUUUUUGCAGGAAGAAACUAAUUAUCUAGGUUUUAAAAUCAAUAUCGACGGUGUAAAACCGGACGAUGCCAAAGUUGAGGCAAUAAAAACAUUACCAAACCCUGUUACUGUUAAGGAGGUAAGAAGUUUUAUAGGGGCGUGUUCAUACUAUAGACGAUUUAUCCCUAAUUUUUCAAAGAUUUCUAUACCUUUAGUUGCUUUAACUAAAAAAUAUGCUAAAUUUCAAUGGGAUGAUGAAUGUCAAAGAGCUUUUGAUUUUUUGAAAGAUAGUUUAACUGUAACUCCUUUAUUAGCAUACCCAGAUUUGAAGAAACCUUAUGUUUUAUAUACUGACGCUUCUAAUGAUACCAUAGGUGCAUGUCUUACGCAACCAUGCGAAGAAGAAGAGACUCAUUUAUCAUGUUUAAGAAAAGAAAAACCUAUAUACUUUUUAUCUCAUAAAUUAUCAGAUACACAGUCUAGGUGGUCUACUAUUGAAAAAGAAGCCUUUAGCAUUCAUUAUGCAUUACAAAAAUUAGAUCAUUAUCUUCAUGGAGCUGAAUUUAUUAUCAGAACUGACCACAAGCCUUUAAAGUACUUAUUGCUUUCGCCACAAUGUAACAAAAAAUUACAACUUUGGGCUUUAGGUAUUGCAAGUUACAAUUGCAAGAUUGAAUGGCUAGCGGGAACUGAUAAUACUGAAACCUGGGAAAACCGAACCCUGAUAAAACCGAAUUUCAGUUUAACGAACAAUUUUUAAAGUCCCGAAAAAAUUUCCCUUUAAAUUAAGUUAAUCGAACCUGACAAACCGAACCUUCAACACCGAAUUCCGAACGCUUUUGAAGGCUAGUUAGAAAUUUGUCUUUAAAAAUUACCUGUCAAUCUAUCAAUAGCAAUCAAAACAAAAAAGCAUUUUUAAUUAUUUGCAAUUUAAUUUAACAAACACAGAAGACAGAGAAUCCCGAGGGUAUUUGAAAUUAACAAUGAGUUGUUAUUACAAACUAAUUAGUGUUUGUGUCCAUGUCAAAGUAAUUUUUUUUUGUGAAGAAAUGUUAAACUGGUCAGCUAUGGCGAUAAUGACAAGGAAGGAACUUUCAGAUCAAUUAAAUGCACGUUACUCAAAUAAUUACGACCAUUUUGUAGCUAAACUGUUUAAUUAAUAAUAGUUUUAAAGCUUUUCAAUUAAGAAGUCAUGCAACACAACAAGGUCAAUGGCUUUCGAUUGUUGGAUUCCCGUUAAAGGCCCUAUAUAUUUGAUACGAUGCUCCCAAAGACUUCCGUUAGCUAUUCAGAACGAUAAAGUCCGAGAAUAAACUGGACCCCUGCUUUUGUUUCACUCUUAUCGUUAGCGAAGUAUCAAUCAGCAGGUGACCAGUUUAGUCCGAGAACUCGUGUGUACAAUGACGUUCCGGUAUUCAACUAACCAUUCAACUACGGAAUCGUCAUUUGACAGCGACUGCGAACCUGAAUUAGACAGUGAAUUAUAGAUGAGAAAAUAAUUAUCAAAAGCAAAAUCUUUUUAUGUCGGACAUCUCACAACGACGAGCGUGAUUGACGGAGUGGCGUUUCAUUUACUACAAAAAUGAAGCAAAACGUUUAUCAUCAUCUACUUAUUUUUUACAUUACAUCUAAAUCAACACAAAAUAAAUUGUCAAUAAUCCUUGUCAAAGUGCUUAUUUUGUUUCGACUUCCGUUUACUCUAUAAUCCGAACACCUGUGUAAACGAACAAAGCAAAGUUGGGUGUUCGGUUGGAAGUUCCAACUAUUGCUGACUAUCUUUCAAGAAGGCCUCCGGGUCAAGAAGGCAAUCAAAAUCAAAGUGGAUCAAUUGAAGUAGAUAUAAGUGACAAGGCUUUUCAAAUCAAUACUUUGAAUUCAAAUGAGUUCAAUCCAAAAGAUUUUGCAAGUUGUGACUAUAAAGAAGAUGACCAACUUAGCGUCAAGGAAUGUACGAUUCCUGGUUAUGACAUGAAAAUUGAACAAUCUUUAGACAUAGAACUUUCGGAAAUUAUUAAUCAAAUAAACACAGGUAAGGCUUCAAGAAGUGUUGAUAAUAAACAUAUUUUUAUCAAUGAUAUACUUUAUUACAUUUCUCACCCUGAUGAUGAUUUAAAGUUAAGGCUUUAUGUUCCAUUACAAUUACGAAAUGAGGUAAUCAAAAGUUAUCAUGAUAAUCUAAGUCAUUUAGGAAUCGACAAAUGUCAUGAUUCAAUUAGGCAAAAAUAUUUUUGGCCAAAGUUAUAUAAGGAACUUAAUUCCUAUAUUAAUUCCUGUGUUAUCUGUCAAUCUCAAAGUGCAGGUAAAACAAAACCUUUAUUACAAAUAUCUGAUAUACCACCAUUUCCAUUUGCUAAGAUAGGGGUAGAUUUAUCUGGACCUUAUCCUACAUCAUUGUCAGGAAAUAAGUAUAUUGUCAGCUUUGUUUGUCAUUACAGUGGGUGGCCUUUGUCUUUUCCUGUUCCAAAUAAAACUUCGGAAAAUGUGGUUCAUUUAUUAAUUGAAGAAAUAAUCCCAAACUUUUCUGUGCCGUUAGUUAUAGUGUCAGACAAUGGCGGUGAAUUCACCUCUAAAAUAUUUGAAGAAACUUUAAAAGAAUUAAAUAUAAGUCACAUAACAACUUCUUUUUAUCAUCCACAGGGAAACGCGAAAGUAGAAAGAUUUCACAGGACGCUUCAUGACGUCAUGGCAAAGAAAUUGCAAAGUGAAUGCGUCUACUUGGGACGUAUGCUUAAAUCAAACAAUAGCAGCUAUUAGGUUUCAAAAAAAUGAAUCAACUAAAUUUUCUCCAUUUUUUCUUUUAUACAAUAGAGACCCAGUUCUUCCGAUUGAUAACCUGUUGAAACCUAGAAGAAAAUAUGUAGGUGAAGAUCCGCACAAGAUUUUGUUAGAACAACAACACAAAUCUUUCAUUUUAGUUCACAGAAAUUUGAAAAAGUCUAAAGAAAAACAAAAACAAAACGCAGAUAAAAAUAGACAAGAAAUUAAUUUAGAAAUUGGGGAUCCGGUAUAUUUCAAAAAUCACUUAAGAAAAAGUAAAUUAGACACUAAGUGGAAACCUUAUUACAGAAUUAUUGAAAAAACUUCUCCAGUAACAUUUGUCCUUAAAAACCAAUUAGAUGGGUCUGUCGCUAAGAAAGUCCAUUUAGAACACCUUAAAAAAGCUAAGAUUGAUGAAUGGGUUAUUCCAACCAAUCUAGAAGGUAGGCAAUUAAGGAAAACAAAUUAUGUUGUACCUCCCGAAGAUAGUGACGAAAGUGAUAGUGAACUUCCAGUCGCUAAUCCUCGAGAAAGACUCAUAAAUCGUUACCGACAAGAACGAGAAACAUCUUCCGACGAGGAUGAUAUUCCGCUCGCUGAACUUAAACAAAAAAUAGCAAAUAGAAACCGACGUGAAAACGAAAAAGACAAAUCUUCCGUCACUUCCGGUUCAAGCGAAAUGUCGGAUAAUAAUAGUUCUGAUGGGUAUAAUUCAGACCGCAGUCAAAAAAUGUCUGUUGAUGAAGUUAGAAUACCAAAGAAAAAUAAGCGAACAGUUAAAAAGUCUGAAAAGAAAGACGAAUUAAUUUUAAGUUUUCUCUCAAACGUUUCUUGUUAUCUUAAUAAAAUGAACGACUAA